Molecule: long non-coding RNA, 413 nt
Filed under: Homo sapiens (human)
Lineage: Eukaryota; Metazoa; Chordata; Mammalia; Primates; Hominidae
Description: HSALNT0342634
Source: RNAcentral
GUUUUGUUUUAUGGUUUCUCCAGCAGUGUAUGAGACUUCAAGCUGCUCCACAAUCCCCCACAACACUUGUUCUGGAGGCUGGGAAGUCCACAAUCAAAGCACUAGCAUAUGAUGUCUGAAAAAUUACACAACAGCCUCAGACUGGUCGGACCCUUCAGGAUGAAUUCCGGAAGAAGACAUUGCUGUCAUAGGAGAUGACAGCUCCAAGCGUUAUUACCCCUUCAUGAAGAUGUUUCAGUGGGACAAGAUGUGAAGGUGGAAGACAAUGAUAUUGAUGAUCCUGACCCUGUGCAAGCCUAAGCUAAUAUGUGUGUUUGUGUCUUAGUUUUUAACAAAAAGUUUAAAAAGCAGACAAAAAAAUUGUAAUAGAAAAAAAUGCUUACAGAAAAAGAAUAAAAAGAAACAAAUUUUUA